AUGACCAUUUACUGUAGGUAGGGUAUAAAUACCAUGAAAGCUGAUAACCCCCGACAGCCAGUCUUAUCUGGACAUGCAUCAUUUGAUUUUAGCAAUAGUAUUACUCUCACUACAGCUUUUUUGGCUUCUCUUCCAGUUGGCCGCACUGACUGGGAGAUGACAGGAGUCUGCAACAGAUGACAGAGCUGCUGCCGAACAAGUUACACGAAGCGUUGAAUGGAAGACUUGGGUUACACAUACAUUCUGGGCAUUGUUAGGGUUUUGGGAAACUUAUUUUGCAAUAAUUUAUUUUAUUAUUUUUUUUGGUUACUGUGGGCUUUUAAACUUUACAUUGUAAAUUUAACAACUUUUAUGUAAAUUUAUGAAAAAAUACUGUUUUGUGCUUACUGUGGAAUUUCUUUGACAGACUAUCUUUAAAAUAACAAUUUAUCUCCUUUAUGGUAAAUGGAUACAUCUGUGUUUUUGAUCUUUCUCCCCAGACAGAUAUGAUGUACAGAUUACGUUCAUUCAUUUCCUGCAUUAAUGUAAACCAGUCAUCUACCAUCAUGCCUUCCUUCUCUAAUUGACUGUAGGGCCUCUGCAGAGCCCAGCAAGAGUCACGUGCUCCAUUCUGAGGACUUCUGCAGCUAGAGCUCUGUGGCUGGGCUGACACACGCUCCAUGCCCAAAAUCAGCAGCCUUCGUUAGUCUGUCAGAUGUAGACCGUGGCCCCUCCGAGACGUCAAAGGACUGGGGAGGAAGCUCAGAAGAAUUUCAUCUAGAGUGCCAGAAUAUCUAGGGCUAGUCCCGCCCCCCCACACAUCUCGCCCUAGCAGAGGGAAGUACGGGAAGCAAUAAGUGGCCUUUCACCAGGAAUUUCCCAAAUAUCAUCUCUUCCCGAGGCAUCUACAACCAGACCUUGUGCCUCGCACCUGUUUCCCAUCCACAGCACCAACAUCUGACAGGAAUAUAUGGGGAAUUGAGGUUGGAAGGACUUUGGCAUUGACCGGAUCUUUAAACUUGAGGGAGGAAUCGGUGGUAGACGCAGCAUUCCAGGGUGCAGCUCCUCCUCUUUGAGAUUCCCUCCUUUGUGUGUGACUUGAGAUUCCAGUGCAUGAAUUGGGAAUCCAGCUGCAGUCUGUGUUUUUGUUUAAACUCACAAGUCUCAAGGCCCACAUUUACAGCAUCAUGCAUAAAGUUUGUUGGAAAUACAUAAAUCUGUCUAUGUUAUGAAACGUUCUUUACUCAGUGCUGCAGUCUGCGUUUGUUGUUGGUACCUGGGAUGAUUAGGAUUUUGGCCUUAAAGACAGUGAUUCUGAAACCGUGGGUUGCCGAAAUAAUUGUGAUUUUUGCAGUAUGCUAAUAAAGAUUUUACUUUUGAG
This is a long non-coding RNA of Brienomyrus brachyistius, 1360 nucleotides long. RefSeq lists it as uncharacterized. NCBI's taxonomy places the organism in Eukaryota, Metazoa, Chordata, Actinopteri, Osteoglossiformes, Mormyridae. The transcript is spliced from 4 exons. The record is from RefSeq and is a predicted model, not a curated record.